This 170-nucleotide ribosomal RNA is filed under the name uncultured bacterium. RNAcentral describes it as "partial 16S ribosomal RNA". It matches the Rfam family "Bacterial small subunit ribosomal RNA", at positions 1334 to 1500 of the family's 1533-position model. The record is from RNAcentral.
ACUAGUAAUCGCAGAUCAGAAUGCUGCGGUGAAUGCGUUCCCGGGUCCUUGUACACACCGCCCGUCACACCACGGAAGUUGGGGGCGCCCGAAGCCACUUAGCUAACCCUUUUGGGAAGCGAGUGUCGAAGGUGAAAUCAAUAACUGGGGUGAAGUCGUAACAAGGUAGC